AUGCCGUCGACUUCCGCAGCAGCCGCUCAGCGUGUGGAGGAGGAGCUGGUGGAUGAGGAGCUCGAGGACGAGGAACUCGAGGAUCUUCCAUGCCUCCAGGUCGAGCCCCAACUCGCUCCAGGACAUAGCGCCGCCGCCGGAGCCGGCAAGUCGGGCUUUGUAGAAAAGGGGAUCCUUCCCUCUGGAUCUCCUGGUGCGGACGAAGAGAAGCGGCGAGACCAGGGGGAGGAGGCGGCCGGCGCGUGGCGAGGCGACGGAGCAGGCAGCGAGACGGCGGAGCAGGCGGCGAGGCGGCGGAGCAGGCGGCCGGCGCAUGGCGAGGUGACCAAGCAGGCGCGAUGGGCUGCGUGGCUUGUCGGAGGAAAGGAAGGGGGUAUUCGUAAAAUGUCCGCGUGGACAACUUUUCUCGGACGGAGGGAGUACAACAGAACAAACUGA
RNAcentral lists this ribosomal RNA (438 nucleotides) under Triticum aestivum (bread wheat). RNAcentral's name for it is "partial small subunit ribosomal RNA". The record is from RNAcentral. Lineage: Eukaryota; Viridiplantae; Streptophyta; Magnoliopsida; Poales; Poaceae.